GGAGACACAGGAUCCGAAGCAGGCUCCAGGUUCUGAGCUGUCAGCACCAAGCUAGAUUCGGGGCUUGAACCCACAAACCUGGAGAUCAUGACCCGAGCUGAAGCCCAUGCUUAACUGAGUCACCCAGAUGCCCCUAUUGUAGCAUUUAUUAAAGCACUGCACUCACGUAAGUUUUCCACAUCACACCAGCCCUUUAAAAACAAUUAUUUGUUUACCAUUCGGCCUGUGCCAGGCAACUGACAAUAAUCCAUUUAAUCCUCACGACAGCUUUUUUGAAUAUUCCUAUUUUCCUGAAACCGAGGGUCAUCCAACAAAUUCCUCACAAGUUCAGGAUUUGGUUGCACACACCCUACUUUCAAACAUAGGCUUUUUUUUUUUUUUUUUUUACCCAAACAGGUUACUUUGAACUCAGGAACAAGGUUAGAUUGUCACCUUUAUACGCUCAGCUCUUAGCCUAGCUCCUGGCACAGAAUGUCUCAAACAAGUGACGCAUUAGUAGGGUGCUGUUUGUAAACGUUCCUUCCGCGUACCGUGGCGAGAAGUGCUAAUUACAAGCCAGCGACGUAGACUCGGAAAGAAAUCCAGAAUUUACGGACGCUGCAGGACUCUCGGUCUUUCUUUCACUCCUAUCUCUAUGGUUAGCAAGUGACCACUCUACACUCUGGAGGACUCAGCGAGCGCAGAUGAGCCCUAGGCGACCUUAUUGGCACGUGACCGGAAGUCUGACUUGCUAUUGGUUAAUGCUGGUAAAGCCCGCCCAACAGCCUCCUGUCAGCUCCUUUAAGUAGACUCCGCGGGGAAGCGCUCAGUCUUUUCGGCGACUGUGAGGUUCGAGAGAUUCCUGCCGGGCCGAGAACGUAGAUCACCUUCUACUCCCCUUCGACCUUUCCCCGAAGCCUUUGAAUAAAAUGGUUUGAUCCCA
Long non-coding RNA from Acinonyx jubatus (cheetah), 922 nucleotides. RefSeq lists it as uncharacterized. The record is from RefSeq and is a predicted model, not a curated record. NCBI's taxonomy places the organism in Eukaryota, Metazoa, Chordata, Mammalia, Carnivora, Felidae. The transcript is spliced from 2 exons.